GGGCUCAGAACGAACGCUGGCGGCGUGGAUUAGGCAUGCAAGUCGAGCGAGAAUCAUUGAAGCUUGCUUUAAUGAGGAAAGCGGCGAACGGGUGAGGAAUACUUGAGUAAUUUGCCCUAAAGUCUGGAAUAGCUUCUGGAAACGGAAGGUAAUGCCAGAUGUGGUCGCCCACCGCAUGGUGGGCUGUCUAAAGGCGGGGAUCCUUCGGGACCUGUCGCUUUAGGAUGAACUCGAGCCCUAUCAGCUUGUUGGUGAGGUAACGGCCCACCAAGGCAAAGACGGGUAGCUGGUCUGAGAGGAUGGUCAGCCACACUGGGACUGAGACACUGCCCAGACUCCUACGGGAGGCUGCAGUCGAGAAUCAUUCACAAUGCGCGAAAGCGUGAUGAUGCGACGCCGCGUGAAGGAUGAAGGCCUUCGGGUUGUAAACUUCUGUCAGAGGGGAAUAAAUGCAAGGUAGCUAAUAUCUGCUUUGUUUGAAGGUACCCUCAGAGGAAGCCACGGCUAACUCUGUGCCAGCAGCCGCGGUAAUACAGAGGUGCCGAGCGUUGUUCGGAUUUACUGGGCGUAAAGGGUGCGUAGGCGGUUUUGUAUGUCAGAUGUGAAAGCUCACGGCUCACCCGUGGAAAUGCAUCUGAAACUGCAGAACUAGAGUAUCGGAGAGGUAAGCGGAAUUCUUGGUGUAGCGGUGAAAUGCGUAGAUAUCAAGAGGAACACCGGCGGCGAAGGCGGCUUACUGGACGAAUACUGACGCUGAGGCACGAAAGCUAGGGGAGCAAAAAGGAUUAGAUACCCUUGUAGUCCUAGCUGUAAACGGUGUGCACUUGGUGUGGGAGGAUUUAUCCCCUUCCGUGCCGGAGCUAACGCGUUAAGUGCACCGCCUGGGGAGUACGGUCGCAAGAUUAAAACUCAAAGGAAUUGACGGGGGCCCCACAAGCGGUGGAGCAUGUGGCUUAAUUCGAUGCAACGCGAAGAACCUUACCUGGGCUUGACAUGCCCGUCAUACCUGGAUGAAAGUCCGGGGUCAGUUCGGCUGGACGGUGCACAGGUGCUGCAUGGCUGUCGUCAGCUCGUGCCGUGAGGUGUUGGGUUAAGUCCCGCAACGAGCGCAACCCUUAUCCUUAGUUGCCAUCAGGGAGUGAUCCGCUGGGCACUCUAAGGAGACUGCCGGUGACAAGCCGGAGGAAGGUGGGGAUGACGUCAAGUCAGUAUGGCCCUUAUGCCCAGGGCUGCACACGUGCUACAAUGGACGGCACAAUGGGACGCCAAGCCGCGAGGUGGAGCAAAUCCCCAAAACCGUCCUCAGUUCGGAUUGUAGUCUGCAACUCGACUACAUGAAGCUGGAAUCGCUAGUAAAGGCGUAUCAGCUACGACGCCUUGAAUACGUUCCCGGGCCUUGUACACACCGCCCGUCACAUCAUGAAAGCUGAUUGCACCCGAAGUCGCUGUGCCAACCGCAAGGAGGCAGGUGCCGAAGGUGUGAUUAGUGAUUGGGAUGAAGUCGAAACAAGGUA
RNAcentral lists this ribosomal RNA (1514 nucleotides) under metagenome. Its description in RNAcentral is "bacterial SSU rRNA". It matches the Rfam family "Bacterial small subunit ribosomal RNA". The record is from RNAcentral.